RNAcentral lists this transfer RNA (70 nucleotides) under Rochia nilotica. RNAcentral's name for it is "tRNA-Thr". It matches the Rfam family "tRNA". Rfam says of the family: Transfer RNA (tRNA) molecules are approximately 80 nucleotides in length. Their secondary structure includes four short double-helical elements and three loops (D, anti-codon, and T loops). Further hydrogen bonds mediate the characteristic L-shaped molecular structure. tRNAs have two regions of fundamental functional importance: the anti-codon, which is responsible for specific mRNA codon recognition, and the 3' end, to which the tRNAs corresponding amino acid is attached (by aminoacyl-tRNA synthetases). tRNAs cope with the degeneracy of the genetic code in two manners: having more than one tRNA (with a specific anti-codon) for a particular amino acid; and 'wobble' base-pairing, i.e. permitting non-standard base-pairing at the 3rd anti-codon position. Lineage: Eukaryota; Metazoa; Mollusca; Gastropoda; Trochida; Tegulidae. The record is from RNAcentral.
GCGAUAAAAGCAGAAUUAGUUGCGUCGGCCUUGUAAGCCGAAAGAUGAAGGAAUAAUCCUUUUUAUCGCU